This 313-nucleotide long non-coding RNA is filed under the name Brassica rapa (field mustard). RNAcentral's name for it is "long non-coding RNA (BRAP_LNC006225)". Lineage: Eukaryota; Viridiplantae; Streptophyta; Magnoliopsida; Brassicales; Brassicaceae. The record is from RNAcentral.
CGACUCUGCCUUGAGCAUUGUACUGGGAUCCAUGGCAAGGACAUAGGAACUUGUUCUCAGCUUUGUUCCAUGGCACAACACAUCCAAGAUGAGUGCACACUGCGUUUAUACCGUAUGUCGCUAGUGUCUUGUCGUUCUCCACAACUAGGUAAGUUGGAUCUCCCUAAUAACAUUAAAAAUAAACAUCAUUGAGAUCUUAAAGUAAUGUUUCAAGGGAAUAAUAACUUCUUCAUCUACCUUCAAUCCUUGGGUCAAGGUUCGAUCACCAGCACCAUGAGUCUUAAGCCAUUCUGCGGCAAUGACAUCGUUUCCA